RNAcentral lists this ribosomal RNA (840 nucleotides) under Triticum aestivum (bread wheat). RNAcentral describes it as "partial small subunit ribosomal RNA". Lineage: Eukaryota; Viridiplantae; Streptophyta; Magnoliopsida; Poales; Poaceae. The record is from RNAcentral.
AUGAAUGAAACUGUCGAAAUUGGUACUCAUGAAUCAGAACCAGGAACCAAUUUUGUGAACAUUGAAGGUGUCGAAGCUGACAACUUCCAUCCUGCUUCGCCAAUGCUUGCUCAGAGUACUCAGUACGAGCCUUCUUCUUCUAAAGAUUUGACUACCACGGAUCAGAUUGUUCAGCCUGAACCUGCUGCUUGUAAAGAUCCAUUGGUGGAAAGCAUUUGCACUUUUCAAAAUCUCAAGUCUGAUGCUACAUCAUGUUCUGCAACAACCGCCUUAGAAAGACAAGAGACUUCUGUUGCCAAUGUUGUACCGUCGUCAAACAAUUCUACUUCUACACAUCCCCAAGAAUUAGUCUCUGCAGUCAUCGUUCCCACAACUGCAAUUGUCAUUCCCAACAUUGCUGCAGACCAAGUCAGGUCACAUUCUGUUCAAACUCAGAGAAGCAACAUGCCAAGUGAAGAUUCAUCAAUAAUGAAGUUUGUUGGUACUGAUGGUCAAGCGGAUAGUGCUUUUCUUCUACCUGUUACUAGUGCUCAUAAUGUGCUUGGACAUGGCAACCAAGGGGAUCAGCCAGAGAGUAAUGCAUUUGCUGUUCAACAUCCACAACAGGAUUCAUCCAAAGAUGUUUUGCAUGAAGUAGGUAAUACCGUUACUAUGGCACCAACUACUGAUGGAAUUCAAGAUAUUGCCUUCAUUGAUCCAAAAACAACAAAAUCUUCAUCUCAAAUAGAUGUUUCUGAUGCACAGAAAGCUACCAAGAAUCAUAGUUUCUCACACAAUCCUGCAUCAGAUGUUGUUCAACUACAACAUACAGACAAGACGACACUUGAAGAUGGCAUUUAG